UAUGAAGACACAUUAUGGACACAUAUAGACUGCCUUAAGAUUUUGCUCUCUUUCAAAAGAAAAACUUUUGAAAAUCAACCUUGAUCUUUGAGAAUCAAAAAUAUACAUUCCUUUCCUAUUUUUAAAAAUCUGGUCGUCUUCUUAUUCUAUUGGGUUUUAUUGCUGCUGUUUUACUUCAAGCUUUCAGAUACUUAUUUUCUUAUCUGUAGUUUGCUUGCUGCUAUCAAGAAGCUGGAAGAAUAAUGAAAUGAACCACAAAAGGAAACUAAAUCAUCGAUGCCUCACCUUGAUAAUUUGAAGACUUGAACUUCUCAACUAGACGUAAACUUGAAGCUCAAGAAAUGGUUUGCUGUAAGUGGUAAUUUUGAUGAAUGGUUUGGGGAGGUAUAUAUAGUUGGAAGACCUCAUUGUUUGGGGCCCAAAGUUUACUUUUUGAUCUGUUUUGUGACUUCAAACAGUUUCCUUAAAUGAGAUUCCACAAGAUAGCGCAAAUUUUCCAAAAAAGAGUUGGAUAAACCAACUACUUUCCUUCCUUAUUGACUGUAGAGGUAUGGCUCUCUAAAGUUGUCGACUGUCAUAUUCAUGCAUGUGAAGCAUAUUUUCUUGCAGAAGUCCAAUAAUGCCCCUCCUUACCUGUUCGACUGUCCAUUAUUCUACUAAAAAGGAGCUCCUCAAAAUAUUAUUCUUUGUUCUGUAUCCAUUUCUAGUAGGUGUUAUGAGGGGAAGAUGUUAUGUGAAAGGUGGGGUUAUUUUACCGCGUGAUCUUGCUAAGAUAGAUGGACCCUUGAGAUGAUUUGGAUUCUCACGCUUACACAUUAGAUUAGUGUGUGUAAUCCACAUUGCCAAUGCAAGCAACUGCCUGACACGAAGGCUAACGUCGUUCAGGUGGAAAAUGGUUCAGGUUCUAAAGGGGCAAAAACUGUGACAAAGUUUACCACCAAGGAAUCAAUUCCCUCAUAAUGCAAAUUCAAGUCCUAUUAUUCUUAUUGUGUAAUAUUCUUCUUAAUAAUUCAAAAGUGGACUUCUUUUCAUCUCCUGUUUAGUCAUGCAUGUGUUAGAAAUCAGAGCACUCUAGAUAUUAUCAGACCAGUCCUUAGUUUCACCAAAUAGAUUGCUAAGAAUGUUAACAGCUUUUAUCGGUACAGACAGGUGAUACAUUAAUUCGGAACAAAACAUGAGAGUUGCGUUAUUCCUGACAGUAUUUAAUAUAUCAAUUUUAAGAGAAAUACCUCUUUCUUGACUGGUACCUGAGACAAUGUAUUAAGGUAUACAAUCACACGACGUUUACCUUUGUUUUUCAUCAAUUCUCUGAAGAUUCUGAAUGUGAUGCAUGGCACAAGAUUUGAACUUUAUGACUUUGAAGCCCUGUAAUUGUUUUUAUGAUAAGUUAUAAGGUUAACCAUCUUUGACAAUAAUCAGUUUAGUGAUCUCUCUCUUUUCAUAAAAGGAAAAGGAUUGUAAGGUUAUACUAUAACUUUUCCUUGGUUCAAAAGCCAUAAAAGGAGAAUGCUAAUAUCUGAACUCCCUUACUAAAGGGAUAGUUUAUUAUGCAUUGGUAAGAGUUUUCAAGCAAAGAUCCAAGAAUUGACAAACUCUCCGCACAGUUAUAAGUGGCAAGAAAUGAGUGAAUAUUACACAAUCUAUGGUCAUUGAUGAGUCACAGAAAAAAAUCCAGGCCUCUCAUACAAACACAUAACAUGGUUUUCAUAGUGAAGCAAAUCAAGAGUAAUCCGAGAUUGACAAUGAGUUGAAGUCGCUUGACCAGUUAUUGGGACCGUGAAUGCUGACAUGGAAACUGUAGCUGAUUCCACCUAAGCGCAGAAGCUCGAGUGUUGACAUAGGAUUUGAUAAGGAGGAAUCCUAAUCACCAUUUUUAACCAGACAAGAUGAACCUCAGACAAAGUUUCAUCCUUUAUUCUAUAUGCGUGACCAUUCUAUAAAGGGGGCCAAUAUUCCUCAAUAAUACUUGCCAGAAUCUACAUCAUAAUGGUAAUGAUAAAAAUAGCCGUUGCUUUUGAA
Long non-coding RNA from Nicotiana tabacum (common tobacco), 2019 nucleotides. RefSeq lists it as uncharacterized. The record is from RefSeq and is a predicted model, not a curated record. NCBI's taxonomy places the organism in Eukaryota, Viridiplantae, Streptophyta, Magnoliopsida, Solanales, Solanaceae.